GUAUUCACUUUGGCAGCACAUAUAUUAAAACCGAAAUGAUGCAGAGUAGAUUAGCAUGGUCCCUGUGCAAGGAUGACAUGCAAAUUCGUGAAGCUUUCCACAUUUUU
Small nuclear RNA from Camelus dromedarius (Arabian camel), 107 nucleotides. Lineage: Eukaryota; Metazoa; Chordata; Mammalia; Artiodactyla; Camelidae. The record is from Ensembl.